Molecule: RNA transcript, 2269 nt
Organism: Alligator sinensis (Chinese alligator)
Lineage: Eukaryota; Metazoa; Chordata; Crocodylia; Alligatoridae
Gene: RBPMS2
Gene name: RNA binding protein, mRNA processing factor 2
Exons: 10
Source: RefSeq, a predicted model, not a curated record
GCGAGAGACAGAGAGGACGGAAGAGGGGGGCGGAAAAAGCAACCCCCCUCGUCCCGUGCGGUCUCUGCACAAAGACGGUCCCGAGGAGCCGGGCGAGCCCGCUCUGCCCCGCCGCCCCCACCAUGAGCAGCCUCAACAAGGAGGGCGAGCACAGCAACAGCACCACCAACAUCGAGGAAGAGGUACGGACACUGUUUGUCAGUGGUCUUCCUGUUGACAUCAAACCCAGAGAGCUCUACCUGCUCUUCCGACCGUUCAAGGGUUAUGAAGGGUCACUGAUCAAGCUAACAUCAAAACAGCCAGUUGGUUUUGUUACCUUUGAUAGCCGGGCUGGUGCAGAAGCAGCAAAGAAUGCCUUGAACGGCAUCCGAUUUGACCCAGAGAACCCCCAGACCUUGCGGUUAGAGUUUGCUAAAGCCAACACUAAGAUGGCAAAGAGCAAGCUGAUGGCCACACCAAACCCCACCAACAUCCACCCUGCCCUGGGCGCGCACUUCAUCGCACGGGACCCUUAUGACCUGACUGGAGCAGCUCUGAUCCCAGCGUCUCCAGAGGCAUGGGCUCCCUAUCCACUGUACACCACAGAACUAACCCCUGCCAUCCCCCAUGCUGCCUUCACAUACCCAGCUGCUGCUGCCGCCGCUGCUGCCCUUCACGCUCAGUGAACUCCAGCCACGAUGCCACGGCAGGCUAGCCUUGAAGCUCAGAGCUGUCCCUGGCGAUGGGACACCCUAGUGAUGCCUAUUUGCAGCUAGUGGAGUGGCUGUACUACAGCUCCAUUCCUAGAGGUGUUAAGCAUGAUGGCACCCACGUCUGGAAAGACUGAUGCGCUGGUAUCCUCCCUCUGAAGCUACCCAGCAAGGAUGGAAGUCUCGUCAGUUUUGUUAGCUCUUCGAGUCUCUUCUUGGCUUGCAUUCUUCCCUUUUUGUCUCUCCAUGGAGUGAUGUGCCAGGGAUGAAGCAGUGGAUCAAUCAAAAUCCCUUUGGUUUAUUUUGUAGGUAUCUGACAAGGUGCCAAGUCUGCAGUAACCUCACACUUCUCCUUUUAUGGAGCUGUGGGAUUUCCCUCCCCUUCCCCUCAAAGACUGUGAAAAUAUAUAUAUAUCUGAACCCAACUCAGUGGACUGCAUUCUGUGUCUGCUUGACCCCCUCCCCUCACCUGCCUCCCUUCCUGAGGCUCCAUGACUGAGUUUCUCCUUUCUCCUACACUGAAGCCUAGUUGGAGAAGCUCAAUCCUGGUGGUGGACAGGUUUGUACCCAACGAGACACUGGUGCCAUUGGAGGCCUUGCUGUUUCCAGAGCAAUACCCAGGCCUGCCUUGUCCUAAACGUUUGUUUAUGCAUUUCUGCCGAAGGAAAUGAAAGACAAUCGGUUUUGCAUGUUUUUCUGGCAUGAAUUAAAACACUUAACUUGUGUAUGUGUGAGUGUGUAAGUUUGUUUGUUCUAGCACUUGUGUAACCGUAGCAACAGGUCUUGGCCUAACUAUUGAUCCAUCAAGGUUUUUCAUCUUGCUUCUGUGAAGACUUGGCUUUCGAAAAAAUUUGCUAACUCUCCUUGUCUCACCCAUUCUCCGUUCACUUCCCUUUCCCUCCUUCCAGUACAACCAGAAGAAUUUGAAAAGUGUUUCUUUUUAAAGUAUGAUGCACUGGGUUUUUUCUUGUCCAUUCUCUCCAGUUUUUUAAAGUCAGGGCUUUUUUUUCCUCAGACAUGUAUAGAAUGGCUGUAAAAUAUAUAUAUAUCUCUAACCUCUCCUCCCCCCCCCCCCAAUCCUUCUGAUUGGAGAGAAUCCAGUCUUGCCAAAUCAGCCAUCCUUAUGGGAAUACGGAACAAAAAAAAAAGUAUGAGUAUUUUUGUACCAUGUGUAAUAAGGAAAUAUUUAUGCAUCAAAGAGUUUCUUGUGUGUUUUGUGUGCAAUUAAUUAUUAUUAUUAUUAUUAAAGAGAAAUUGUAAUCCUGUAAGAGAAGUUAAUGUUUAGUUAAAAGCUUGAAAGGAAAGGAUUGUUUUCUGUAAUAAUGAUUCUGUCAGGCAUAGUAAACAAAUUGUGCAAUUCUUGUUUUUUUUUUUUUUUGUUUUAGCAUCUUAUUGCUUGGUAUUGAAGUGCUUUAAGUAUUAUUAUUAUAAUUAUAAUUAUAAUUAUUAUUAUUAUUAUAUACAACCAUGGCUCUUGCUUGUAUUAAAAGACUUGAGAAUAAGUUGCUAUAAUUGCUGAUCCUAUGAGAAUGUGAAACUGGAUAAUAUAUAAAAUGCAAAAAAAUCCCCCCGAAAACCCA